AAGCCGUAGUCCACAGGAGUGCAUCACCUGCUACCACAGAUCUGACAGUGGUUACCACGACAGGCCACAAGUCAAGUUCUGAGAAUGAGAUUCUGAAUUCUGAGAGAGGCCACUGGUCUUAAGACACUGGAUGCCUAACAACUGAGGCCUCAAUGGAAAUAUCACCUCUUCAGGAAUGGAUACUCCUUGCUGCUAGAGUUUGGAUGUGGAGCACCCCUACAGGCUUGGGUACCAGGCUGUGGCGCUAUUGGAAGGUGAUGGAGCCUUUAGGAGAUGUGGCCUUGUGGGUGAAGCGAUUGUGGGGGCCUCAUGUGGAGAAGUAAGACCACUGCUAACAUGGCCUGGACUGCUAAAUAGUGCCCAGAAGGAGAUGAAAACUCCCCAGGACAUCUGCUCAACUUGGGCCACAUUUCCCACAAGCAGUAAGAAGCUGGAGUACAGAAGGCUGAUGGGUAUUUGUGGUUGCAGUGAGCAUGGUCCUCUGUGCAGGACGCCGUGGACUGCAUGCCACCAGCUGGCCUCAUGUCGCCUGCUGAGUCUUUGUACACACUCUGCUGUGCGUACCUGUCACAUUCCCCUUGUACAGGGCAGAAGCUAG
Long non-coding RNA from Heterocephalus glaber (naked mole-rat), 598 nucleotides. The record is from Ensembl. Lineage: Eukaryota; Metazoa; Chordata; Mammalia; Rodentia; Bathyergidae.